This is a non-coding RNA of Lepisosteus oculatus (spotted gar), 419 nucleotides long. The record is from RefSeq and is a predicted model, not a curated record. Lineage: Eukaryota; Metazoa; Chordata; Actinopteri; Semionotiformes; Lepisosteidae.
GGAGUAUCACAAAUAUCAAAAACACAGCUCCUAGCUAUAACUCGAAUUGGCUUGGGUUCAUCGAGAGGAAUCCAGGGGAGAAGGCAAACAGAAACCUGUGUUCCACAAGGCUGACCCGAAGACAGCGAGCACCAAAAGAACAACACGAUGAACUCUCUCUCAUGCUUUGAAAAGAAAGGACAAAUCCCUUCAUUUCUCCUAACACCAAAAGGUCUACAUCAUCCUUUAUGAGAGGGUCUGCAGUCGAGGAAGAAUGCAGCACAGAACAUACAGAUUGAGCUGCUGGCACAUGGGACUAUACACUUUCAGCUGUCAAGCACAUGGGCCUCUUGCCAAAAGUCACAGCCUGCCUUUCAAAGGCAAAAAUAUUUUGUUCAAUCUGUUUUCCAAGAACCCCACCAACCAUUCAAAGCACCAAA